GUGUAUGUGGCAUAGUGGUUUGAGUAUUGGACUAGAAUGCUGGAGACCAGGGUUCAAAUCCCAGCUUGGCCA
Non-coding RNA from Phrynosoma platyrhinos (Desert horned lizard), 72 nucleotides. The record is from the annotation of a GenBank genome assembly. NCBI's taxonomy places the organism in Eukaryota, Metazoa, Chordata, Lepidosauria, Squamata, Phrynosomatidae.